RNAcentral lists this ribosomal RNA (740 nucleotides) under uncultured bacterium. RNAcentral describes it as "bacterial SSU rRNA". It matches the Rfam family "Bacterial small subunit ribosomal RNA", at positions 26 to 744 of the family's 1533-position model. The record is from RNAcentral.
AGAACGAACGCUGGCGGCGUGCCUAACACAUGCAAGUCCAACGUGACAGGGGAGCAAUCCCCCGGUAGGGCGGCAAACGGGUGAGUAAUACAUGGGUGAUCUACCUUAGGGAUGGGGAUAUCCUUCCGAAAGGAGGGGCAAUACCGAAUAUUGUCCGGAACCGUGAGGGGUUUCGGGGAAAGGGAGGCCUCUGACACAAGCUUUCGCCUUAAGAUGAGCCCAUGGCCCAUCAGCUAGUUGGUAGGGUAAAGGCCUACCAAGGCUACGACGGGUCGCUGGUCUGAGAGGACGACCAGCCACACUGGCACUGAGAUACGGGCCAGACUCCUACGGGAGGCAGCAGUGAGGAAUACUGCGCAAUGGGGGAAACCCUGACGCAGCAACGCCGCGUGUGGGAAGAAGGCCUUCGGGUCGUAAACCACUUUUACUCGGGACGAAAAAGGGAUAUCAAAUAAGUAUCCCCGAUGACGGUACCGGGAGAAUAAGCCACGGCUAACUCUGUGCCAGCAGCCGCGGUAAGACAGAGGUGGCAAGCGUUGUUCGGAAUUACUGGGCGUAAAGAGUCUGUAGGUGGUUUGUCAAGUCUUUGGUGAAAGGCCGUAGCUUAACUAUGGGAAUGCCAAAGAGACUGGCAGGCUGGAGGCUGGGAGAGGGAAGCGGAAUUUCUGGUGUAGCGGUGAAAUGCGUAGAUAUCAGAAGGAAGGCCGGUGGCGAAGGCGGCUUCCUGGAACAGUCCUGAC